AUUGAACGCUGGCGGCAGGCCUAACACAUGCAAGUCGAGCGGAUGAAGGGAGCUUGCUCCUGGAUUCAGCGGCGGACGGGUGAGUAAUGCGUAGGAAUCUGCUUGGUAGUGGGGGAUAACGUCCGGAAACGGGCGGUAAUACAGCAUACGUCCUGAGGGAGAAAGUGGGGGAUCUUCGGACCUCACGCUAUCAGAUGAGCCUAGGUCGGAUUAGCUAGUUGGUGGGGUAAAGGCCUACCAAGGCGACGAUCCGUAACUGGUCUGAGAGGAUGAUCAGUCACACUGGAACUGAGACACGGUCCAGACUCCUACGGGAGGCAGCAGUGGGGAAUAUUGGACAAUGGGCGAAAGCCUGAUCCAGCCAUGCCGCGUGUGUGAAGAAGGUCUUCGGAUUGUAAAGCACUUUAAGUUGGGAGGAAGGGCAGUAAGUUAAUACCUUGCUGUUUUGACGUUACCAACAGAAUAAGCACCGGCUAACUUCGUG
This 484-nucleotide ribosomal RNA is filed under the name uncultured bacterium. RNAcentral describes it as "partial 16S ribosomal RNA". It matches the Rfam family "Bacterial small subunit ribosomal RNA", at positions 30 to 507 of the family's 1533-position model. The record is from RNAcentral.